AUGAUCAGUGUUGUGCCAUCUGCUCAGAUCACUGAUUUCCAAGGCUCUGAGAAAGAAACAUUUGUUCAAAUUGGAACCAAUAGACCAUUAUCAAGUCUACAACUGAAUGAAACAAGGUGCAGAUUUGGUCACUGGAUCUUAAAGCAGAUCUGCAACUUUUGGAGACAAAUCCAGGACCUGCUUCCAAAAAAUGAGCUACCAGGCUUACCCAUAGCCAUAAGUAGUCUCACGAGAGUGUUAAAUGAAAACGCUUUUGGUUCUGUUAUGCCUCUCUCGGCUGGUCAGACAAAGCAGUCCACCGAUGAUAAAGAAAUCCCAGCUGAAACUAAAGAAGGGUCUGUACAAGUUAAGAGAGGCAAAUCAUGCUCAUUUAUCUUCUGGUCUCAAGUUAGCAUGUUCUUCUCGUCCUCCCAUCCCCAGAGUAGGGAGAUUUCUUAA
This 438-nucleotide ribosomal RNA is filed under the name Triticum aestivum (bread wheat). RNAcentral describes it as "partial small subunit ribosomal RNA". The record is from RNAcentral. Lineage: Eukaryota; Viridiplantae; Streptophyta; Magnoliopsida; Poales; Poaceae.